This is a non-coding RNA of Ictidomys tridecemlineatus (thirteen-lined ground squirrel), 4462 nucleotides long. The record is from RefSeq and is a predicted model, not a curated record. NCBI's taxonomy places the organism in Eukaryota, Metazoa, Chordata, Mammalia, Rodentia, Sciuridae.
CUCACCUCCAUAAGGAAGGAUCCACACGUCAGGCAGAUGAUGGUUACAAUCCACUCCCUAGCACCGGUCACUCACAAGGACGACUAAUGGCCUGCAUCCUGAAAACUGCCAACCAAUCCAGUUGCGUCCAUUUGACCUCUGGAGCGUCAAUCAGCUCAGCACCACUAAAGAUGAGUCAUUCCCACUGACUUCUGGGAAAAUUCCGACUCCCACCUCCUCUGGUGCUCUGAAGCUCUCCCCUGGUUUUCCUCCUUGUUUAUUUUUGGAGCUCAUCAUUACUCCUCAGGCCAGUUCAAGGUCUUUCUUCAGCUUUCUCUGCCUCCUUAGCCAAGAAGGAGGACUUGGCCCGUCCAGGCUGCCUCAUCUCCAUGGCUCCAUGAAGGUGGGGUUUGGGGAUGACAGAGAACAGGAAGGUAGAAACCACUCCUCUUAGUACUCUGAUCAUGCCUGCGGCCAUAUGCUUCUUGGUGGAGCCCGGAGUUCUCAUUACUUUGAGUUCAACACCUCCCCACUGCCACUGCCAUUGCUUCUAUCCUCGACCUCAGGGUGACAAGUUAGUGAAUAUCAGAACUGACAAGGUCAUAGAAAUAAUCUCCUUUCCAUUUCCAGGUGCAAGAGGGACUUCUUACUACACUGAGUCCAGCUGCAUGUCUGGAUUUCCACUAAAACCACUUGUUCACGGGCAACUGUACUCGAGAGAGGAAACACACAGAAGCUGUUGAGAGGAGAAGGGCCAUAUCACAGCCUCACAAAUGCUUGGUAUUAGAUAUCCUUGGUCUUCAAAGUCCUGUGGCCCCGUGCUGUGUUCCUUGCUUACCUCUCUUCCUCCCCAAGGCCUGUGCCUCCUUCCCUGUGAAUCCAAGGAAGAUGCUUCACAUAGAUAAGCCACCAUGAUGCUUCCUCCCCUUCCUCCCUUGUUUUAACAAGAGCUCCCUUUCCUAGUUUGUCCACAUCUGUGUCUCUGCUGCAUCUUUUAACAGAAAUAGUUUUCCCAAAGUUCAGCUCUUCUGGUACUAGUACCCUGAUCAGCCACCUCUAGACCCUGCCCACUGCCAAUAUCAUGAUGCUCUUGUCCUCUGUGCAGUAGAUGCAGAGACCCUUCUAUUUCUGGUGCCCGAUGAAGACCAACAACCCCAAAUAGUCUGAGGACUCCCCUUUUCAGCUCCAGUGUCCCAUGGCUCCUAUGACACUCUACACAGAAACAAAGAGAUUGCCCUUGGUCAUCUGGAUGUAUUAUUUUUUAGUCCUGAGUCCAUGAAAACAACUAUUAACCUUUCUGACCUGAAUCUCCCCAUCUGUAAGACAUGGGCAGCUCUUUCACAGUGUUCUAUGAGGGCUAGAUGAUAUGGUGCAGUGUCUGGGGGACUGAGGUCUAUCCUGUCUCCCUCCCUGUCACAUCAUGAAAAGGGGGUGGUUGGGCCCUCAAAUCUGCUAGUUCCAUCAGGGAUAGAAGAGCUGAAUUUAUCACAUGGGUGCUGAAGUAGGGAGAAAUCAGGUGUACAAAGAGGUCAUUCAGUCACUUUGGAAAGACCUGGCAGAAAUCAGGAUUAGUCAGGAGAGAGAUAAGAGGUAAUGAUGGAGCAGGAAUGUCCCUGUGGACCCUCUUUAGGUACCAUGAAGCAGCUAAGAGGAGCAAGACCACAUGUCCAUCUAAAAAGAUGAAGACCUAAGUAGAUUCAGAGAAAAGUUUUGCAUGUGGCAGUUAUUGUGAAGGUUUAUUUGGGUAGAAACGCUUCCAUGAACCCACAGAAGAGGGGUGUUAAACACACUGGAGUGUCAAAAUGGGUCUCCUACAGAAGGCGGGACUGGAUUGGGAGGCUGUGGGGAUCAUUAGCAUUUUUUAUAUAUCAUUGAGUUUUCUAAUUAGAAACAUGAUCACAGGAAAACUUGAAAUUCAGAUCUUUGAUCAGGUAGUAGAAUUUGUAAUGUGUAAAUGAGUCAAGUAUGAAAAGGCUAUAAUCAUAGCUGUAGAAAGGCGCAUUUUCUUGAAUAAACUGAGAUUAAACUGUGCCACAUAAAAUAGCUAAGACUUUUGGUGCCCAUAGCUGGUUUGUCACUGGGGAGGUGAGUGAAACAGGAAUUUUGGUGCCCAUGGGUGGUCUGUCUCUGGGGAGGUGGGUGAACAGGGAGGCAGAUGCAUUUGAUGUUGAUGUCAGUUCACGCUGAUUAGGAGCUAAUAUGGCUUCUACCUUUGAAAGCCUGAUCUCAUGAGGAAAUUGAGGGACUGACUCCUCACUCUUGAGCAGGCUUUGAACAAAACCCUUAUUUGAAGAGGAAGGUAAGUGAGCAACUUCACUGCCUACAUUUCCAAACUCAAUAAGAGUUAACUUCCAAUUUUACAUUUUCCAGGCUCUGGAAAGGCUCACUUUGAUUCUAAUUCAAGGAGCAGUAUCACAUCAAUCUCAAUGUCAUCCCAGGGUUUAUCCAUAGGCCACAGCUUUCUCGAGUAUGGCUUUAGCACAUGGAACAGAAGAGAUGCUGUCCUCAGGGAAGAUGUCCUAACUUCAGCUUUUUAAUGUCCCACUCUUUGAAAUAGGGGUUUAUUUUUGGUCCUCGCUGCCUAAGGGGAUAAAGCCACAUUAGACUUUAAAGCAAGUAUGGGACUCAUUCAGGCAGAACUAAGGUUUCGAUUCACCCUUGGUCCCUCCUAGGUGACCACAGAUGUGAUUACUUCCACCCAAAAUGACUCUCACAAGUCUUCAAGGACUAAUACAGAGAGAGCCUUGCUCUAUAAAUGGAACCUCUGUGUCCCAACCAGCCUUUCCCACCUAGUGAAAGAGAAGAAUCAUGCAGAGGACUCUGCUCCACACCCUGCCCCGUGGUCAGUGUGGACUAGAGGAGGCUGGUGAGCACAGCUGUGGGUCCUUGGCAUUGCUCGUCAAUACCGGGAAGUGGCCAUCCGGGAUUUGGUUUACAGUGUCGGGCCUCGUGACCUCAAAGCCACCCAAGAAGUAUUUGUGCCUGGGGGAAAUCUCCCUAGCCUCUUAGGGAGGUCAUCCACUUUCUGUUCUCUCACUUUUUAACUCUAAUGUGUUUGAUCCUUCUGCCAGUGAUUAGCUUCUCUGUGUCUGGGAAAUUCUAAAAUCCAAGAGACCUAUGAGGAAAGAAGAUCAAGAAGGUGACAAGCCUAAGAAGGUGAAGGGAAGAUAUGAAGCUCAGUACUGCAGAAAGUCUUAGGAUCCAGGUGCUAAGGAGAGAGAAGGGCUGGAGGAAAAGAGAACAGCUGCCAAUAUUACUAUGUAUCAGUCAUUUCACAAGAAAUGCAUGGAGGUGCUCAUGAUUUAACUCACGGCAAAGUAAUUAAAGAAUUAGGUUACUAUCUUCAUCGACUGUCAGAAGAGGACAAGCACUCUUCAGUCUCCAGAGGUCUUUGGGAAAGACUGAGAUAACACUUGCAUGGAAUCCAAUGAAAUUAAAGACAAGGUGACAUUUUAUAAUAUAUUUAAACUUGUGGAAUCACAGAUCAUCCUAGAAGUUAAAUCUGCUUAGGUUUUUUUUUUUUUUUCAUUGUUCUUCUCCCUAGAAAAGAAAAUGUAAUAGAAAUUGUAUGUUGGAAGCUCAGGUCUCUCUCCUUAACUCAAUUGCUAGUACAUUUCUAAUUGAGCAAAAUGACAUGAAAUGGUAUGCGUAUUCACCUCCCCUCCCCACACUAGUGAACCUAGCUCUCAUAUCCAUGCUGCACGAGGCCCAUGGGGCGGAGGCUGGCAGUCUUGGAGGGGCUUCAGGACGAUGUUUUCUGCUGGCUGAGGCCGGGGCUCUGGAAGGAGAGUCCACCUGAACCCUGUGGCUGCGCUUCUUGUGCAGAGAGCAGCUGGCUGUGCCCUGCUGUGGCUUCGCUGCUGGCACAGAGGUACAGGGAGGACUGGCUGGUGCUGGGGGACUCCAGGGUCAGGGGGAAAUGCUCCUUCUGAUCCCUGGAGACACUGGUUCCUUGGGAGGCUUCUCCUUCAGCUGUGCUGCCAACACUGCCUGAGUAGUGCAGCAGCCUCAGCCCCUGUCCUGGGUCUUGUCGGUACCAGAACAUUGAAUAAUGGUUCAGGUUCUGAGAACACUCCAGGGUUGUCUUUUUUCCCGUGUUUAAGAUAAGGUGUCGGGGCCUCUGAGUGAUCCCAGCGUCCACGAGGCCUGUGGAGAGGGAGCCAUAGGCAAAGUCAAGACUGAAAAAGUGUCUGUAUCUGCAGAGCAAAGGGAAGUUGGGAGCCUGGACUUAAAGUCAUGACAGGGUUUUUCAGCAGCUGCAGAACUCACCUGUUCCCAGGAGACAAAGUGUCACACAGAAGAGUCCAGGGUUCAUGCAGGUCCCCAUGGAAAGGAGCUCUCCCAGCUGAUGCUGUGACCACAGGAUGACAGCUGGGGCUCUGAGGCUGCUCUCCAGGCACCUGAGAGGUGGGGCCCUCAUGCCACUCCUCCACACCCUGUGGGCUCUCUCUGGCCCAGGGGCCUCCCCACUGGCUCAGGCAAG